GACGAACGCUGGCGGCGUGCUUAACACAUGCAAGUCGAACGGAAAGGCCCGGCUUUUGGGGGGGGCUCGAGUGGCGAACGGGUGAGUAACACGUGAGUAACCUGCCCUUGACUUUGGGAUAACUUCAGGAAACUGGGGCUAAUACCGGAUAGGAGCUCCUGCUGCAUGGUGGGGGUGGGAAAGUUUCGGCGGUUGGGGAUGGACUCGCGGCUUAUCAGCUUGUUGGUGGGGUAGUGGCUUACCAAGGCUUUGACGGGUAGCCGGCCUGAGAGGGUGACCGGCCACAUUGGGACUGAGAUACGGCCCAGACUCCUACGGGAGGCAGCAGUGGGGAAUAUUGCACAAUGGGCGGAAGCCUGAUGCAGCAACGCCGCGUGCGGGAUGACGGCCUUCGGGUUGUAAACCGCCUUCGCCUGUGACGAAGCGUGAGUGACGGUAAUGGGUAAAGAAGCACCGGCUAACUACGUG
This 468-nucleotide ribosomal RNA is filed under the name uncultured bacterium. RNAcentral describes it as "partial 16S ribosomal RNA". It matches the Rfam family "Bacterial small subunit ribosomal RNA", at positions 28 to 507 of the family's 1533-position model. The record is from RNAcentral.